This 1475-nucleotide ribosomal RNA is filed under the name Lysinibacillus parviboronicapiens. RNAcentral's name for it is "bacterial SSU rRNA". It matches the Rfam family "Bacterial small subunit ribosomal RNA". The record is from RNAcentral. Lineage: Bacteria; Bacillati; Bacillota; Bacilli; Caryophanales; Bacillaceae.
UGAUGCAGUGUCUUCACGGGACGAACAGAGGGAGCGUGCCUGAUUAGCCUGCAACGUCGAGCAGAAUCAGAGAGGCGAGCCUUGCUCGAUUCUGACGUCUAGCGGCGGACGAGGUUGAGUAACCACGUGGGGCAACCUAUCGUUAUAUUUUGGGAUAUCUCCGGAGAAACUGGGGAUAAUACCGAUUAUUCUGUUUCACAUCAUGGUGAGAUAGCAGAGGACGUUUUGGCCUGUCGCGAUAGAAUGGGCCCGCGUCGCAUAGCUAGUUGGUGAGGUAACGGCUCACCAAGGCGACGAUGCGUAGCUGACCUGAGAGGGUGAUCGGCCACACUGGGAUGAGACACGGCCCAGACUCCUACGGGAGGCAGCAGUAGGGAAUCUUCCACAAUGGGCGAAAGCCUGAUGCAGCAACGCCGCGUGAGUGAAGAAGGCUAUCGGUUCGUAAAACUCUGUUGUAAGGGAAGAACAAGUACUGUAUUAACCGGCUGUACCUUGACGGUACCCUAUGAGAAAGCCCCGGCUAACUUCGUGCCAGCAGCCGCGGUAAUACGUAGGUGGCAAGCGUUGUCCGGAAUUAUUGGGCGUAAAGCGCGCGCAGGUGGUUUUUUAAGUCUGAUGUGAAAGCCCACGGCUCAACCGUGGAGGCUCAUUGGAAACUGGGAGACUUGAGUGCAGAAGAGGAUAGUGGAAUUCCAAGUGUAGCGGUGAAAUGCGUAGAGAUCAGGAGGAACACCAGUGGCGAAGGCGACUAUCUGGUCCGUAACUGACACUGAGCGCGAAAGCGUGGGGAGCAAACAGGAUUAGAUACCCUGGCAGUCCACGCCGUAACGAUGAGUGCUAAAUGUUAGGGGGUUUCCGCCCCUUAGUGCUGCAGCUAACGCAUUAAGCACUCCGCCUGGGGAGUACGGUCGCAAGACUGAAACUCAAAGGAAUUGACGGGGGCCCGCACAAGCGGUGGAGCAUGUGGUUUAAUUCGAAGCAACGCGAAGAACCUUACCAGGUCUUGACAUCCCGUUGACCACUGUAAAAAUAUGGUUUCCCCUUCGGGGGCAACGGUGACGGGUGGUGCAUGGUUGUCCUCAUCUCGUGUCGUGAGAUGUUGGGUUAACUCCCGCAACGAGCGCAACCCUUGAUCUUAUUUGCCAUCAUUUAGUUGGGCACUCUAAGGUGACUGCCGGUGACAAACCGGAGGAAGGUGGGGAUGACGUCAAAUCAUCAUGCCCCUUAUGACCUGGGCUACACACGUGCUACAAUGGACGAUACAAACGGUUGCCAACUCGCGAGAGGGAGCUAAUCCCAUAAAGUCGUUCUCAGUUCGGAUUGUAGGCUGCAACUCGCCUACAUGAAGCCGGAAUCGCUAGUAAUCGCGGAUCAGCAUGCCGCGGUGAAUACGUUCCCCGGGCCUUGUACACACCGCCCGUCACACCACGAGAGUUUGUAACACCCAGAAGUCAGUGAGGUAAUCCUUCUGGAGC